AUAAAGUUGACAGAAUAAUGUGAAUAAUUUAGGUUUAUUUUAUGAGAUUAAUAUCUUGCUUUAUA
RNAcentral lists this transfer RNA (65 nucleotides) under Eumandya parva. RNAcentral describes it as "tRNA-Leu". Lineage: Eukaryota; Metazoa; Mollusca; Cephalopoda; Sepiida; Sepiolidae. The record is from RNAcentral.